Molecule: long non-coding RNA, 67 nt
Organism: Sander lucioperca (pikeperch)
Lineage: Eukaryota; Metazoa; Chordata; Actinopteri; Perciformes; Percidae
Exons: 3
Source: RefSeq, a predicted model, not a curated record
CACAAUGUUUGUUUACAAUAACUUCCAGGUAGAAAACUCCUGCGUCCCGUACAUGCUGAACAAAUGG